CUUCUUCCUUCCCCUCCCCCUUCCCCGUUACCUCUGCCUCCCAGCAGCAACUCCACCAAUGCCACCUUCCGCCACCCCUCUCCUCCCUUUCCCCUUCUCCUCCCCUCUGCCCUUCCCCCGUCACUGCCCUCUGCCUACCAUCCCUUUCCUCUCCCCUCUGCAUCCCUUUCCUCCCCUCUCCCCCGCCACCCUCCUCUGCCCGCCAUCCCCUCUGCCCACCACCCCCUCUGCCCUUCCCCCUCCCCUGUUCCACCAGAGCACCUUCCCCAUUCAAAAAUGGAUCCGGUGCCGACGAUAGUAUCCCCAGAUUUUGACCCAUUUCAAAACUAGUUCCUUCAAGAAUUUCCAUCAAAUCUUCAGCAAAAUCAGAACCAACCCAUUGCUGUCUCUCUCUUUCCUUUUCCAACGGGCUAGCUUUCUCCACCGAAGCUAAACGGGCUGCCAGAGAGAGGUUGCCUGCGGCAGUUGGGGUGUUGCCUGGACGAGGAGAACGGCCGGUGAGACGUUGGACCAAGUUCAUGAAGCCAGGUAUGGGGGAGGAAACGGUGGUGGUAGUGGGUUGGGAUGGGGUGGAAGAACGAAAAAAGGGAAGGGAAUUUUUUUGUGUGUUUUGGAAAUUGUGAAGUGUGGAGGUAAAAAACUUUGAUAAGUUUUUUGGGGUUACUGUAGCAAAAGUUGUUAAAAAACUAAUAGGUAAAAAACUUGUCCAAAAACCUGGCUUCCAAACAGGACCUUAAUUAGGAUCCACGACGGAAUUAGAAACCUAUUUAAUUUAAUUUAAUUGUAUAAACUCUCCAAAUAUUUUAUGAUAAAAAAUCUUUCCUUCAAUUAUCUUACAAGGAAUAAGGGUUUUUCCUCUGUGCUCAGGACAUUCUUGCAGCCAAUUAUUGGUUAUUGUUGCAUUAUUUGCACACACAGGUAGUAGCAAGCGCGUUCUGAUUAAAGAUUAUUUGAAACAUUUUCAUAUGUAGUAUCACACUUUUUUGUGAUGUCAUAUAUGUAUUGUAUGUAUAAAGAUGGUGAAAAAACUUGUUUUGCAAAUAGUCUGCAUGCAGUAUUGCUUCGAUAAUUGUUCAAUAACCAUUUUUGGGCUCAAACCAAAAAUUCUUCAACUCAUUCCAUUUCUCUGAUUUGGUGCAAAUGUAAUUGCCGUUUAGUCCCUUCCAGCUCUUGGUCUUUGGGUUGGCUUUGGAAUAUAGCCCAAGUUUGGACGGGGUUUAGUCGGAAACCCUCUUAGUGUGCACCAAAUUUUAGCUAGAAGUUCUAAACUAUUCGGCCUACCAACUCUUUACGUCGCAUGUGUUAGUAGGGGUGCAAACAAAUCACUUAAUCUGAGUAGUUCGCGAAAUCAAGCUCGAAUCUAAUAUAUGAAAUUUGAAAGUUACGUAUAUGUGUGUGUAUAUAUAUAUAUAUUAGUAUGAAAUAUCUAUUUUGUUUCUUGUUUAAAAUUAUAUAAAUAUAAAUUUAUAUUUCUUAAACUCUAUUAAGGUUGAUUAUGUUCAAUUGAACUCGAAUUAUAUUCGUGUUGCACGAGUUCGAGUUCAAACUCAAGGCGAAACAAAUUUGAGCUUGAAUUUGAAUUCGACUUUCAAAUGCUCGAUCUUGAGAUCAAAUCUAAAUUUUUUAAGUCGAGUCGAUCUCACUACUCGAAUUCGAUUCAACUCGAUUCCAUCUCCAUGUGGCACUAAUCUCAAGUCCAAAAUGAAAACUCUAGUACCAGAAGGUGGCUCAAAUUUUUUUUUUUGAAGAAUAAAUAAAGAAAUGGACAAAAAUAUUCUAGUACCAAAGAUUCGAGAAUUAAUAUUUCUAUAUACUAACAAUGUAUACAUUUUCACUAAUUUAAAUUUGAAUUUCAAAUCCAAAUUUUGCAGGCCUAUCAUACAUCCAAUCGCGAUAGUGUGUAAAUUGUCAAUUUAUAUAAUAUUAACUCAAGUCUUUAACUCUUUAGUUGUGCUCAAGCUUAAGUCAUAUGGACAACACUACCAAAAGUUGAGGCAGCCGAAUCAUACGUGUAUUUCCGAAAUUGUAACUUUGUCAAGUGCGAUUUUGAAAUCACAUGAUCAUACAAGUGGGUCACAUCUUUUAACAAAAAUGCAUGAUUAGUUCAGCAUUAACAACACAAUUUUUAAUAAUACCCGUACGUGCAACAAAAAUGAAAUGUGUUUAUCCUAUUAUAAAGCUGUUUCCUAAGCAGCAAUGCUUAAUUUUAAUCAAAUCGAAUGCAUGAUGAUUGCACGUGCACCUCCUUUAGAAUCUCCUCAUUUGACGGCCUGCAUUGCUGGAACUCCAUCGAUGUUCGUAGAGCUGCGUGGUGACUGCUACGGGGUUUCGCUACACCUCCAACCGAAUGAUUGGACUAAAAAAAAAAUUAAAAAAAGAAUAAAAGGAGCUGAAGAUUGAAGAAUGGAUCUAAAAGCUUGACCCUGGGAUGCGCACGUGUGACCGGAGGAACAUGACACGUCUAUCUUGCUGUUGCCGGGUCAGCACGUGCAAUCCACCUUGCAAUCUUGAUAUCAAUGCACGCGUCACAUGAACAGGGAAUGUUGGAGGACGUUUCCUUUUUCUUUUUUUUUCCUUUUGAAACAUCAUCCGACGUGUAACGUCAGCUCAACUCAAUCCAGUUUAAACCGUUAAUCCACUUUACAAUUGUAAUGUACAAAAAUAAGGUCAUGUUUGUACUGUAUUUUCUGAAUUUUUUUUAUAGAAAAAUUACUGUAACGAUUUAAUAUAUUUGAGGUAAAAAAGGGAUUGAAAAAUAUAUUUACAAAAAACGUAACAAAUUUUCUUUUCCAAACAAGGAAGAUUGAGUGGACUAAAGCGACGGAUUGCUAAUCUGUCAUGCGAGUUAUUCAUACCGUGUGUUCGAAUUCCUCUCUUUUUGUUUUUGUUGAUGACUUUUAAUUUUUUCAAAUUUUGCAAAUCUUUUUCUCUUAUUUAAACAUAAACUACUAAGAAAAAGAAAAUAUAAAAAAAUCCCUUUUAUUCUUCACACCCAAGAUUACAUCCGAGAUCAUUAGGUAGGAAUUCAAAAAUGAAGAGAGAAACAAAAAAUAUCACUACUGUGUAAACGAAGAGCUUGAGAGUAAGCAUUACACAAUCUCCAAAAUAAAUUUUUGACAAAAAAAAAAAAAAACAGAGAAUAGAUCCUCCAUUUUUCUAACAAGAAUGUUGGGGAUCGUUUCCUUUUUUUCUUUUAAUUAUUGUUUUCGAUAACAUGUAAAAUCAACUCUGACCAAAUUAGACCAUUAAUCGUACUUUGCAAUUGUAUCAAGUAAUCAAGUGUGCAACAUCUUCAUGUAAUCUAGACCGUCAAUUGUAGUCUGCAGUUGUAAGCAGGAACCAAGUCGGUGAAGAAGAGUCUCUCCAUUCAGCCACAUUGGUCAAGCAAAUGGUUGGUGAUUAGACUCUUUAGGAUCUGAUGUAUUACUAAGCUUCUCAAAUAGAUGGUAACUAGACUUUACAAAUCAUAACAUUUGCAAUCCAACAAGAGCUAUAUGUUCGUCAGGAAGUUGAGUUGACAGAGUAGCUUUUCAUGUAAAGAUGGACUUGAAAAAAAUCUUGCAUUGGCAAAUGGUCUUUUCUCGAUUACUGUUCAAGAAAUGAUCCUCUCCAUUAUUGUUUCACGGGUUAAUUCCACUUUGUCCCCCCAAACUUUGGACGAUUACCCACUUAAGUCCCUAAACUUCAAAAUGGGACACUUAAGUCCCUAAAUUUAUAAAUACCUCCCACUUAAGGAAAAUUGUUAACAAAUCAUGAAUGCCGUUGGUGGUCGAAGUGUCCCAUUUUAUGAGGGUUUAGGGAUUAAAGUGUCCCUAUUUAUAAGUUCAGGGACUUAAGUGGGAGGUAUUUAUAAGUUUAGGGACUUAAGUGUCCCAUUUUGAAGUUUAGGGACUUAAGUGGAUAAUCGUCCAAAGUUUGGGGGGACAAAGUGGAAUUAACCCUUGUUUCACAUGCAAUGCUUUCUUCGAACAGUUGAUGGGCGGGUAAGGUGCUUCAAUAGAAGCGACACUUAAAAGUUUAUCGUCUCAAGAGUUGUAUAAACAAUAAUGUACCCCUUUUACUUGUUUUACAUAGAUAAUUACUAUUCAGUUUGACUAACGGGUGUUCAUAGAGCACAAAUUAAGAUAUAUUUUAAAUAUAUAUUUUUAAAAUACAAGAUUAAUUAAAAAAUAAUUAAAUAUAAAAAAGGAUAAACAAAAUUAAAUAGAAAAAAUAUAUAGAUACAAGAGAAGAUAAUAAUUAUUAAUAUGUGUGUAUAUAUAUGAUAGAUUAGACUAAUACUAAGUAUGUUAAUGAAUAUUUUAAGGACAUUCGUUAGAAAAAUUUAUAAUUAUGUUAGGGUUAGUUUUUGUACGGAAUGAACUUGGUUUAGAAAGCGACCAUCUUUAAUUUGUGACAGCAAAAGAAACAAAAAUAUUCCACCACAUUGUGAUUCUUGAAGAUAUGCAAAAUAUUCCUUUUUUUUUUUUUGUCGACACGAUAGAAUUCCUAUAACCUAAACUAACCUAUUCUAGAGGGGAAGGGGAGGGGACUCGAUGUGAGUAGAAACUCCAUCGAAACUGGUCAAAGAAGACCGUCACAUAUUGUGAUAAAUUUUGUGGGAGGUAAGGUUCGAACCCUUGACCGGGAUGACCACUGGACGAAAGGCCUAAUGGCAUAUGCAAAAUAUUCCAUCCAUCUGAAUAUUUGUGUAGGGUUCAGAAUUCUGAGGAUGAAAAUUGAACCCAAUCCAAAAAAGCCAAAAUGGAACCAAACAAAAUACUACUAGUUGGGAGAUUGGGGCGAUUAUCACGUGACCUUCACAUGGAGACGCUCUAGCAAAGCCAUGAUGUUUCUUUCUUUCUUUCGGUGUACGGGGAAUUAAUGGGUGAUGUGACCCUUCGAUUACAUAACAACAUCAAUCAAUCAAUCAAUCAAUUAUUAUUUGUGGGUCGCUGCCACGUGCGCGAUGAUAUUGUUGCACACGGCCAUCAUCAUCCCAAUCAUUGAAUAUCAAUCCCCCCAUCACUGAUAACAAAAUUCAUCCUGAAAAUUUGAUGCUGAUAUUAAUUUAUAAGCACUCCUAAAGGUCUUUUUAAUCUUUCUUUGAGGUCUUUCUCUGGUUGUUAGGGAGGUGAUCUAAAAGAAAUACACAGACAUUUUCUACUACUCAUAUUUCAUUGGAACGGCUUAUUACUAUAAGCUUUUAGAAGCGGGUUUGUUUGGAUUGUAAGUUAUUUGGGAUUAUUUGGGAUAUUUUUACUAUAGCACUUUUUGUGAUGUGAUAUAUGUGAGAUAAAAAGGAAAUUGGGAAGAUAAAAAGGUGUAUUGAAAAUUGUAAUGAUGAUGUAAGCAAAUAAAAUUGGGUAAAUAAUGCUCAAUCCAAACAAACCCUCGUAGAUUGGAUAGUGUUGUGGAAAGAUCUUGGUGAAGAAAGAGAAUUUCAUGGUCUAGGAGUCUGUCAUAAGAAACGCUAGAGUAUUAUUUUAAAUAAUUAUUUGAAAUAAUUACUGUAAUACUUUUUGUGAUGUGAUGUAUGUGAGAUAAAAAGAUGACUGAAAAUAUAAAAAAGUGAAUUGAAAAAUAUGUUUACGAUGCAAACGAAAAAUUUUUUUAGAAAAAUUAUCUAUCCUAACAUAGCCAGUACUAGUUACUAUUGCAUUGAUUUUUGACGUAGUACUUUUUUUUUUGUCAGCAACGAUACAUUUGUAUAACCUAUUUUAUCCUAAUCUAGGGGGAGGGGGAGUCUAAGGAGGCUGUGAUGGGGGGCUAGUAGGUAUACAGACCCAACUAGCCCAAUGAGGGAUUUAAGCCCCUCCCUGGUGGCCACUGAGCCAUUGGCCCAGUGGUUAUUUUUUACGUAGUACUUGAUUUUGCCAUUUUAAGUUGGCGACCAUAUUUAAUAGAUCAACCUACUUAAUAACUUUUAUUACUUUUAUUAGGUUUUGUCAUUCAUGACAAGUUUCAAUUAAAAUGUCUUUUAUCUUUCCCAUCACAAGAGUCAGUAGUCGAGGAAGACGUUAAUGAUAUUCGAUAGCUACCUUUGAAGAAGAUCCACUGACCACUGUCACUAGCUAAUUAGUAGUAAAUUUGCAUAUCUACAAGAUAUAAAAGUACCAAGCGUGGGUAAUGUUUCAAUUGCAAUUGAUUGUGGACCGGUUAUUGGUGUAAUAUUGGCCAAUUCAAGGGCAUUUUCGUUAUGUUAAUGGUUUAUGAGUUGUACAUUUGUUGGUGAUUGCAUGGUGUUACAUUAGAUCGGUUAUUGGUGUAAUAUUGGCCAAUUCAAGGAACUAAUCAUUCCUAAUUAGAAUUAGAAAUAUAUGAUAUAAAAUCAAAUAAUAUUAUAUAUAUAUAUAAGUAUAAAAAAGAAUUCAAAAUGUCAUUUGAAUUCAAAAAUGAAAAUUUUAACUAAUUUAACUAUACUAAAACUAUUUACUAUCGAAUAGUAGAUGAUAAUUAGAAUUUAAUCGACUGAUAAAAAAUCAAAAUUCUAUAUCGCUACAUUAAUCAUUGUGCUUUAUAAUAUUCAAUAAUUUAUUUAAAAUUAUAUUUUAUUCUUUUCUAGAUCCAUAUCGAUUAUGAAUAGAUAAGAAGUAAUAGUUACUAACUAAGAUUCUAAUAGUUUAUGGAAUUUCUAUCCAUAUAAAAUGGAUAUUAUAUGAGCCCAAAAAAAUAGGAUAACUCAUAAAAGAAUUUAUAACAUAUCAAAGGAACAAUAAAAAAUAAAACAAAAUAAUCUUUACCAAAUUAUCAGCAAAAACAUAUCACUAAAAACUUCUGCCCAUAGUAAAACUAUUUACUAUCUAAUAUUAGGUGAUAAUUCGAAUUUAAUCGAGUGAUAAAAAAAUCAAAAUUCUAUAUUGCUAUAUUAAUUGAUGUGCUCUAUAAUAUUCAAUAAUUUAUUUGAAAUUCUAUUUUAUUCUUUUCUAGAUCCAUAUUGAUUAUGAAUAGAUAAGAAGUAAUAGUUACUAUCUAAGAUUCUAAUAGUUUAUAGAAUUCCUAUCCAUAUAAAAUGGAUAUUAUAUGAGGCCAAACAAAUAGGAUAACUCAUAAAAGAAAUUAUAACAUAUCAAAGGAACAAUAAAAAAUAAAACAAAAUAAUCCUUACCAAAUUAUCAGCAAAAACAUAUCGUUGAUAACCUAUUAACGCCACGGCGAACAAGACUCUUCUCAACAAGAACAACCUGGACAACCCAACCGCGAAACCCAUCAUUCAAUUGAUUGAUAGAUACUAAAUUCUGUUCCAUAACAAUAAACCACAAAGCAAAAAAAAAAAAAACCAAAACUAAUUUCUCCAAACCAAACAGCCCACGCUUUUAUAGCGGCAAAAACAAAAACUAAUUAAUAUCCAUUUAGGCAUAACAAGCCUAAUACAAUUAAUUAUCUCUCUUGUAAGUAUAUUUACUCCAAAUUCAAUGACAAAUAUAUCAUUAUUAUAGACAAUUAUUCGCACGCACAUGCACAUGAAUUUCCAUUUGGAAACCAUUACGUGGGUUGCAUUAUAAAUAGAACCCUAAAAUUAUACAUGCCAAGCUUAAACCUGGGCAUUGGCGUGGCACCCAAAAACUAGUAUUUACAAGUACGUGGGAGAUUUUGGGAUCCCUUUUAAGGAUUAUAGUUUCAAGUUAAAAUCAUCGUUCGAUAAUCGAUAGUGAAAUAAGUAUUUUAAAUUCUUAGAUUGUAUUAAUUUUCAUCAUUUAAAAUUUGAAUAACGAUCGUCCUUAAAGAGAAAAUGAGCGAGUAGUUCCCUCAGGAGAUCAGAGAAGUAUUUCAAAUAGGGUUUUUUUAACACACCUGACAUACAUCUAACCUACCAUAUAUCUACACAUACUAACAUUAUUAUUCUCCUUUGUAUUUAUAUAUUUUUGCAUAAUUAUUAUCAUCUCUUAUAUUUAUAUAAUUUUCCUAUUUAAUCUUAUCUACUCUCUUUUAUAUUUAUUUACUUUUUAAUUAAUCUUAUUUUAAAAAAUAUAACACUUGAUCUUAAUAUGGCACUCGUUAGACAACUGUUCCAAAUAUGAAUGUAAUGCUGAACAAAAAAAAUGUUGAGAAAACCUUAGGUCUAAUGGUUCAGAUAGAAAUUUCAAAAUUUAGAGAUCUUGUGUUCUAAUUUUUUUCCCUUUAUCGCUUCUUAAAUCCCAUUUUUAUCAUUUUUAAAUUUUUUUUAAAACAUAUCUUGGCAUUAUGUGAAGGGCAAUUUGAAUAAUAAGAACAAAGGGCAUUUUGAAUAUUGUUACGGAACAUGUCAAGGAGUAGAGAAAAUCAUGAAAACGCCAAGCAUUUAAAUAAAAAGGUAUUUGCAUGUACAUUAGAAGGAAGAUCCACUAAUCCAAAUAACCUUUUAUGGUUGUAGAACUAGUAGGACUCAACACUUUCUAUAUGAUACUAGAGUUUCAUCUGGCAAGAGCGGUCGAAUACAAAUUGAUGUGUGUAGAUUUUCUUCAAAAUGCAUUGGAAAAAUAAAGAGAAGAAUAAAACGAUUAAGUAAAUGAUGUAAAUAUGCUCCCGUCGUUGAAAGGAAAGGAUAGAAAUAGAAAGGAAGUUUGAUGAUCGUCAAAAAAGAAAAAAAAAAAAAAGGAAAGGUAAUAGGAAGGGGAGACUAAUGAUUGGAGAAGAUUGGAUGUAGGUGGAGAGGAGACAAGAUGACACAAAACAAGUCGGGAAUGGGACCAAGCGUGUCCCGUCACGCCUAUCGAAAAUCUAUUUUCAACAUAUUGAAACGGUGCCUCAGCCUGAGCCCGGGCUGUGGGCACGCACACGGCAGUAAAGUCCACACUCACGUGAACGCUGCCUGGUUUUCCUCAUCUUUACUCAACUCAAAACCCUACUUCCCACGUGAACCCCCAGCCCCAUCCCCAUCCCAGUCCCCUCCUCUCCUCCAUUCAUUCCAGAUUCCUCAUUCCUCCCUCCCCUCCCCAUGUUUUAAAAAAAAAAAAAAACUGGAUCUUCAUCCUUCUCCUCCUCCUGCUUCGGCUUCCAAUUCCAUAAGAAUGUGCAACCCUUCAUCUACUCUGACAAAAAAUGUCAAGCUCCAAUCGUAAUCGGCUUCAUUAGGUACCAAAAAGAAAAAAAAAAGUGGCAAAAUUUUACAAAAUAUUAUCCACAGUCGACUUUAACAAAUAAUUACCUAGAUGAAUAUAUAUGAUCCGUCCUUUCGCUAAUUAAGUCGUGUUGUUGCUAAUUAAUAACAAAAAAAUAUAUGGUCCUGCUUUCUACUUUCCUUUGAAUCUAAAAUGUUAAUGCUUGAGCUAAAGUUGGAGGCACUCCCACCAUGCUAAUUCUAUAGCAACUGAAAAUGAAAAUCAUUCCAAAUGCAUGUCUCAGAUUGCAAAUUGAACAUGCCUGCAUGGUUAUCGACUCUGAGUCUUAAGCCUACACGGAUGCAUGCGAAAGCCUGCAUGGCAUAGUCGUCGAAAUUUUUUUUAUCGUAACGAUAACUGUUGUAUAAUCUAUUCUAAAUAGUUGCCUGGAUAAUUAAGUUACUUUGUGUUUGUUUCCUUCUUUGAAGGAUGAUCGUACAAUUUCCCAGAUUGAGGUGGUGCCUUGUGAGUGUCUUGAGCUGUGAGCUACUGAGCUACGUGCUAAUGUUUGUUUCCUUUCUUAAUUUCUUCCUUUUUUUCUCCCACAUUACUCCAAUAUAUAUAAACCCCAAAACCCUACAUCCCCAAAAAGAAAAAAAAAGAAAAAGAAAAAGAGGAGGUGUGAGAUAAGUCAUAUGGCUGUCACCUGCAAGCUGGUAUACUAGCUAGUACGGAUUUGAAUGGCAGAAUGAUUCAAGAAUUCGUCUGAAUAGUUGCAUACAACUAUAUUUGCAGGAACAAAAAGAAAAAUAAGAUCUCUCGGGAAGACACGAUGAUCAAUGGCGCCAUACGUGGGAACAUUCGAUCGUUAACAGGUGUCUAUGCCAAUUUGCCGAUUAGUAUAUCUGUGCUAUUCAGUUAUCAUCCGAAGCUGAUGAUACAUAUUAUAGUAAUCUCUUGUCCCAUGGGAUGAGAUUUUUUUCCUUUAUCAAUAUACCAUCCCCUCAAGUUAGUACAUUUUAAGAAGCUUAAUUGAUUAAUUGCUAAUUAAUUUAGGACCUGAGCAUGAAACCAAAGUCAUUAUGAUACAACAAAUCAACAGUACUAAAAGUUACAGUCGCACAGAGAUUGGUGCCAUUUUGAUUGUGAGUUUUCGUGGAAAAUUAUUUAAAAUGUUCUUUUACAUUUCUCAUAUGCCUGUUUAUUUCGAAACAAGACCUUAAAAUUGAGAAUGUGACAAUAAAACCAAAAAGAAAGCAAACCCAUAUUCUUAUUCUUAUAUUAUAUAAGAAUGAAUUGUGGUCAAAGGGGGUUUGAAUUUUAAUCGCAUGAAUAUGAUUUUUUGAGAAUAUGAAAUGUUGUGUAAUUUUUUUUAAACUUUUGGUAUAAAUAAGGGUAGCAUGUGUUUAGUUAUAUUUACCGAAAUGUCCUCAUUUUGAUACAUUUAAAAUUUGAUUUAUGGAGACAUCUAGAUAUUUCUGUAAUAUUGAAUUAUUUUGCAAUCGUUUUUGCAUCGAGUACAACUCAUAUAAACUUAUGUGUUGGUGUAAUUAUUGAAAUGGUGUUAUAGACACGUUUAAUUGAAGUAUGGCUUUUAUUGUGUAAUUAACACAAAGACAUAUCAACACAUUGUGCAAUUAACACGUUACUAUAACUAGACGUUAGAGGGUAUUCCUUUGCUUGAAACAACUUAUAUCUCUUCUUGGACGAUUUUCAACUGACAUCUUAGGAGUUUUUUGAGAAUUAUAAAAUUAUAAAAAUAUUGAUAAAAUAAAAUGUACAAGUAUGUGAUACAAUUAAAAUGUACUAUUAUUAAUUUUAUCAUAAUUGAUGACUAUUUUUUUUCAAAAUAUAUAUUAUUUAUUUAAUAAAAAAUUCUCCUUAGUAAUGGACACCAAACGUCCGGCCAUAUGCGGCCAAUCUCCCGCUAGUAUUAGUGUAUGGUUUGACUUGCAAAAGAUAAAAAGGGGAAGUAAAGGAGUAAAUUACUUUAGAAAAAGGAAAAGGUGAAAGGAGGAAAAAGAAAGCAAGAGCUGCCAACAUCAACGCGUGUACCGUAGAGCCCGACUUAGCGAGUGUGAAUGGAUAAACUGGAUCAAAAUUAUGGGAAAUGAUUCAAAGAAAGAGUAUCCAAUGAUUGUACAGAGAAGUGUGUCGGGUCAACACUCGACAGAGUGACACGCACGAGGGGUAGGAGUUUGGGUCCGACGUGCUGCCACGUGGGCAUGCAUUUGCAUGCUUGCGCACGUGAAGCUCUGCAGCUUUCCUGCUUGACCUUCUCUCUUCUUUGUCCCUCUCUUACAUCCUUUUCACUCAGAACCAGCUCUGCCCCUUUGGUAUAGCUUGUUUUGACCUGUUUUUAACCCCAAAAAAAAAUAAAAUAUAUAUAUAUAUAUAUAUAUAUUUGUUUUUUCACUUCAAAUACGUUUUUCAACUAUAUUUUUAAUUUAUACAUUUUCCAAUUAUGAAUUUUAUAGUGAGAGUUCUUAAAAACAUCUCAAAAAAGGACCAUCAAAAUGCAGUUGUAAAUUUUCUCAGCUAUAUGACAAAUUUGAGCAAUGCUACAUACAUAUGGAUGACAAUUUUUAGAAUAGUUUGUACAAAAAUAUUGCCUUCAUUUGUUUGCAUUACGUUUCAAACAUUCUAAACUUUUAUCAUUUUCUCCGAUCAUCUUUUUAUCUCGAAUACUUUUCCCUAUAAAAUUGCUAGAACAUCCAAAAACCAUCACCUGAAUGGAACCAAGAUCUUCAGAUGGGUUAUUUUUUUUAAAAAACAUUAAUACAUUUUCUAGCUAUUUCUUAUCUUAAUGCACUCUGUACAAUCAAGUCAUAAGUAGACCAUUCUUCUUUUUUUUUUUCUUUUUUGUAAAUGCAUCCAAGAAAUGGUAAUGUAAAAUGAUUUUGUCAUACAUUGUAGAAGUUUUUUAGGUAAAAAGGUGGUUGUAAAAAUUUUUUUUUUUUUAGAAAAUUCACAAACCAAAUGGAUCAUGAACCUACAUGCAACUUCUCGCUUUAACUGACGAGCCAAAUAAAUAGCUAAUUGAGAUUUUUAUUAACGACCAUGAAUUAUAGUCACAUAUAUUGGCAGGCGGAGGGAGUUACGAUUGACCACCAAACAACUUUCUUGAACGUAAGCUUGACAGAUACAUUAUAGAAAAAUAGAGAUAAAGAUAUUUUAUGAUGCAUUCAACAUAGAUUAUUUAUUUACAUAAUUCAACUAUUAUUUUAAUUUUUUUCAGUAGGGAAGUAGGACUUAAGAGGCGGAAUCGAAUAACGGAUUUGAAAUUAGAACCUUUAAUUCUGGGGGUCUCAAAAGUGGUCCAAAAUUUUGAGUUAUUUUGAAAAAGGAAGUUUUGAGAAUUGGAAGGAUAAUUUUAGAUGACUUUAGAUUAUUUACCCUUGAUCAUCUUUAGUUUGAUGGUCCUAAAGUCACUUUAAGCCACCGUUUCAUUUUCGACGGUGACUUUAAAAAUUUCUAUUUUGAGAAAAAUAAAUAAUUUGGUCUAAUUUGGAAUGUACCAAUAAACACUGGAUUAUAUAGAUGAAAAAAAUCCUGUUAAACACCAUUUAAAUGUAAGGGCAACUUUCAUCAGAGUCUAGCUGGAAUUAAACUCAAAUAGUUUGAUAUUUUUACCUAUAAAUUUUAAUUUUACACUAAUCGAACCAAAAUUAAAUUAAAUUUAAAAGCUUAUCAAAAUUUAAAAUAUUAUUUAAUUUAACUUGAAUAGUUAACAAAUUAAAUUCGAAAAACUCUUACCCAAUCAAAAUCGAUUUGAUAUAAAGUAGUAUGAUUUAUCUUUUAAGCCUUGCUCGCUAGGUGUUCCUCCCGUCUUUUCCCCAAGGAGAAAAAUUGGGCUAUGUGACUUCUUGGCAAUGAAUUACUUUCUUUUUUUUUUUCUUUUUUUUUUUUUGGGCAAUGAAUUACAGAACGGCACUAUUUUGUUCAACACAAUUAUGGGCUCUUCAAUUCCUCGCUUUGAUGUAGUUCAUGGACAUUAGUGCAGACCCUACGUGUCUCACGCGCAUUUCACAUCGCUGGGCCCACUUUUUGUGGUACUCCAUAGAGCCCCUGUUUCUGUUUAGCUUAUUAUUUUCACAAGCUUUGGAGCGGCGCGUGGAUUGAAGAUCGUGCAGAUUUGCCUGAUGCCUCUCACGGAGAAUCAACUCAGCCAGCGGUCAACGAUAGAAAAAGCUGCUUUGCAACGAGAAGUUACCUGUAGAGACUUGAGAGAUUUCCCCAGAAAAUGAGAAAAGUAAAAAGACAAUUAAAAGGUUCAAAAAAGAAAAAAAAAAAAAAAAAAAACGACAAAGAAGAGAAGUUUUCUAAGGCAACAAAGGACAAAGAAGAAGUUACAUUUUACGUACUUUCAUUACCUCAAAAAAAAAAAACUGUAACAUUCAAGUUUCCGACCACAAUAAGUAAACGAAGGAGCAAUUGCCUUUUGAGUUGAAUUAAGAAUUAGGUUUUGAGGGUGCUCACCUCGGCAGUACCUUGUUGCCGAGGUGACCUCGUUUCGUCUCCUACACGAACACAGCCAUUCCCCGAUCCGGACCCUGAGCUCGGCUCGGUCCAUGGUCUCCUACUUGGAUGACCUCUGCACCCCUGGCUACCACCUCGGCUAGACGCUGAUGAUGUCAACACCCCUGACAACGCCCAGGACCAGUGCUUUAUCUGAAAAGCACUGGGUGAUCUUAAUGACUACUGCGCAUGACCCCGUCAUCCAGCCCAGGCGGCUACAGUGUCAGAGUCAGGCCUCCUGGCAGGGAACAGAGCCGUAAUGUCAGGACGUGGGUCCCACCAGCAUGAACCCUCCGUCCUGACCUCCACUCCCACUCUAUAAAUACCCCUCCUGUACAUUUCGCAAGUAAGCAUACUGUUCAUUUGACAAUACUACUGCUUUUCUCUCGUUCUCAUACUAACUUGAUCGUCGGAGUGAUCCCAGGGGAAAGUCCCGCCAUUCACUUCGGACACGAGGAUACACCUCACUUCAUCUCAGAGGAUCUGAUUCUGGUCGGUUCAAUUACCCACCAAAAAUCACCUCUUCAGGUUUAAAAUUUUUUCCUCUCUAUUGUUGGAAAAAAAAAAAGAGGAAAAAAUAAAAGUAAACGAAGGAAUAUAUAUUAAAAAAAAUUAAAAAAACCAAUAAUGAUGAUUUGGUUACUUUAUAUUCACAAUCACAUGAGUAUUUUUACCUGCAAUAAGAACCUUCAAAUGAUCAGAUUUUAGAGGGAGACAGGUACUAAAAAUUGAAGUUAUUUUCAUUCUUUAGAUGGAUUAUUUCAACACCAAGUAAAUUUCAAUAUGGUAAAUUCAGCAAUAGAUUAACCAUUUGCAUCACUAUUUACAUGAUCUUAUAAUUAUGCCUUAUUUUCAUGCUUUUUUAAAAAAAAAUUUUAGUGUAAGUGGAAUAGUUUGAAACCGAAACUCUCAUUUACAUCCCGUCUGUAUCACCUAACCCAUCUGUCCCCCAAUUUCAUGCUUAUUGACGAUUAAAUCAGUUUUUCUCAUACAUAAGCUUCCGCUGGCAUUAGGGGAAAAAAAAAAGAGCUCCCGUUGGGUCUGCAAAACCCAGACAAAAAUGGACUAUAGAUCUUGAAGAUGAUAAAAUUGAAAUUUGGAAAAUGCUAUGGUUUUUAUCAAUACUUAAAAAAUAGGAGCCUUAUAGAUUGAAGCCGCCUAUCCAUAAAAAAAAAAAGCAAGAUAAAGAAGCAUGUCCAAAUUCACGUGCCAUUACAAAUUCAAAGUUUCAUUUGUGGACAUAAGAAGCCAUUUUGUUUUGUUUUUCUUUCUCACUCCCAUGGAUGCAUGUUUGCUUUUAUCAUGCUACUAUUAACUUUAAUGGAGUGAAUUCUAGGUUAAUUUUAAUAUCUUAGAAAUUAGUUUUCUACAACUUGAAAAAAUAAAUUAAACUUGAAAUGACUAAUAAAAGUUCAUAAUUUGGGAUUUCCCUUUUAUCAAUGGGUUUGUUUGGAUUCAUUGUUUUUGGGUCUGUUUUUGAAAAACUGUUUUUCACAUUCCAAAUGCUACAGUAAUGUGUAUUUCAAAAACAACUCCAAAAACACUAUAUCCAAACAAUAUAUCAAAAACAACUCCAAAUACAUAUUUAAUAUGUUUAUUUCAAUUUGUAUAUUUCAAUUAUGUAUAGGUAAUAUAUAUUAUAUUAAUUUAUAUUUUAUUUUAUAUAAAAUAUAUUUUUAUAUUUCUAUAAUAUAUUUAUACAAAUAUCAAAUAUUAUUAUAUAUAUAUAAUAUUAUAUAUGUAAUUAUACAAAUUUAUGAAUAUUAAAUAUUAAAAAUUAUAUAUUUAAUAUAUACAUAAUAUAUAUGUUUAUGUAUAUUAUAAUAUGCAUUUAUAUUAUGUAUUAUAUAUAAUAUUAUACAUUUAUACAUUUAUAUUAAUUUACAUAAUAUUAAUUAUACAUUUAUACAUGAUAUUAAUACCUUUAUACAUUUAUAUAUAUUAUAUUAAUACACCUAUACAUAAUAUUAAUAUAUAUUUAUAAUAUAUUAAUUUAUACAUUUAUAAUUUAUACACAUUUAUAAUAACAAAAUUUAUACAUUUAUAAAUACAUUUAUAUUAUAUUAUAUAUAAUAUAAAUGCAUUUAUAAAUACAUAAAUGCAUUUCUUUAUAAAUAUAUAUAAAUGUAUUAUAAAUACAUAAAUGUAUAUAAAUAUAUAAAUAUAAACUUUAUAAUUUAUAAUUUAUAAUUUAUACAUUUAUAUAAUAUUCACUUAUAAUUUAUAUAUUUAUAAUAAUAUACAUUUAUAUAUAAAUAUAUAUAAAUAUUUAUUUAUAAAUAUAUGUAAAUAUUUAUUCAUAAAUAUAUGUAAAUAUUCAUUUAUAAAUAUUUAUAAAUAUAUGUAAAUAUUUAUUUAUAAAUAUAUGUAAAUAUUAAUUUAAAAAUAUAUAUAAAUAUUUAUAUAUACAUAUAUAUAAAUAUUCAUUUAUAAAUAUUUAUACAGGUAUUUACAAAAUUAUAUAAAUAUAUUUAUAAAUAAAUAUAAAAAUAUAAAAUUUAUAAUUUAUACAUUUAUAUAAUAUUCAUUUACACAUUUAUAAAAAUAUUUAUAUUAUGUAUUAUAUAUAAUAUAAUACAUUUAUAAUACAUUUACUUAUAUUUAUAUAAAUAUAUAUAUAUAUAUUUAUAAAUAUUUAUAAAUGUAUUAUAAAUGCAUAAAUGUAUAUAUAAAAAUAUAUAAAUUAUAAAUUAUAAUUCUUACAUUUAUAUGAUAUUCAUUUAUAAUUUAUAUAUUUAUAAAUGUAUUUAUAUUAUGUAUUAUAUAUAAUAUAAUACAUUUAUAUUAUUUAUAAAUAUAUAAAUUUAUUUAUUUAUAAAUAUUUAUAAAUGUAUUAUAAAUGCAUAAAUGUAUAUAAAUAUAAUAAUAUAAAAAUUGGAAAUUAUAAUUUAUACAUUUAUGUGAUAUUCAUUUAUAAUUUAUACCUUUAUAAUUUAUAUAUUUUAUAUAAAUAUAUUAAUAUAUUUAUUUAUAAAUAUUUAUAAAUGUAUUAUAAAUGCAUAAAUAUAUAUUGUUAUAAAAAUAUAAAAAUUAUAAAUUAUAAAAAUACUGAAAAUAUGUUUUAAAAAUACAUCUAAAAAUAAUCCAUAAAACAUAUACAGUAAAAGUUUUUCAUAUAGUUUUUGAAAAACAACCCCAAAAAUAACUAAUCCAAACGGACUUGUAUUUGAAAAACGAAAUGCUACAGUGCUUUUUGAAAAACAACCCCAAAAACAGCUAAUCCAAACGGACCCAAUACUCUUAACAAAAAACAUUAACUAUUUUAAUCCCUAAUUCGUAGGUUUCGGCUAAUGUAGUUCCUUUUUAUGAUUUAUUAUGAUCGACAUCUACCAAUAUUAAUCCCUUAUCUUUUAUCAAAAGUGACCAAUAAACUUUGAGAAAACUAAUGGAUAAGUCACACGUGUAUGAUCGAAACAACAAAUAGAUGAUCAAUUUGGCGUCAUUAUGAAGAUUUUAAAUGUUGUGACAGUGGGUCUGUUUGGAUAAAGUAGUAUUAUUUGAAAUAAUUAUUGUAUCAUUUUUUAUGCGCGAUUGAUAGUCUCGAGAUCGGGCGGUUUCGAUUUUCCAAGAGGCCAAGUAUGGCCACGCAAUAGAUCGACAGAUGUCAUAGACUUUUUCCCUGUAUUUUUCACUUAUUAUUAAUAAAGUUUUAUUUUUAUUUUUUAAAAAAUAUAAUAUAUAUAAGAUAAAAAGGUGAUUGAAAAUAUAAAAAAAAAUUUAAAAAUAUAUUUACGAUAUAAGCGAAAUAUUAUUUAAAAAAAUAAGAUAUUCAAACAAAUCUAGUAUAAAAAUAUGUAACUAACAGAAGUACCCAAGGGUGUUUUUUUUGGGUUUGUUUUUAUUUCGUAUAAAACUAGUAAAAUCUCUGAGUCACAACCGUCUGCAUAAUAUGCAUUAAAGAUACGCUCAUUGGUACUGCACACAUGUUGCAAUUGAGAAACAAAGAAGAUUGAAACCAGUUUAUAGUUUGUACGCUAAAAAGAAAAUCCCAUUCGGUCAACAAAAAGUAACCCCCAGAGUAUCAUGUUGAAAUCUCAUCUCAUCAACACUUGCAACAGUAUCGAGAGAGAGAGAGAGAGAAGAGAGUUACAGCCGGCAGAUAUUAAUUAACAGACAGACACCCAUAAUGCCAAAGUCGAAUACAGAACAAUUGUAAAUUUUUUUCAGUUUUUGUUUUUUGUGAGAGACAGUAGUAGUAAUUGUAGAAGUUACUACUAGUACGAAAAGGUUUUGACCAAGACCCCCAGCAUGGUCAUCCACCGUUACAGAAGAAGGAAAAGAAGUUGAUCAAAGAAAAAGGGAAAGAAAGAAAGAAAGAAAGAAAGAAAGAAAGAAGGAAAGAGAGGAAGAAAGAAAGAAAGAAAGAAAGAGAGAAAGAAAAGAAGCCGUCCAUUCCAUGCAGAGGGGCAAAUUGCCAAAGUGCAAAAACAACAAAAGCGAGAACAAAGCCAAUCCUGUCUUUUGAAGUGUCUUCGCAGAGUCCAUUUAUCGAAACACUCAUACAAAAAACUGUGAGUUAUGAAAGGGAGAACAAAGCCAAUCCCUUUGUCAUCAUUGAACCAAUAGCCAUCCUCUGACACAAGUCAUCAUUGAACAUCUGCAGCUAUAUUACCAUUACACACUCUCUCCCUCCCUCACUCUCCCGCCCCCCUCCUGUCACACAUCUGCAUCAUCACACUAGCAAGUAGGUAUAGGAGCACUAGUAUUCAUAUGUAGCUUCUGACCUAUUGUUUUGCCUCAUCUGUAAUUGCACUCUGUCCAUUGGGAAAAAGAAAAAGCUGUAACCCUUCUGCUCUGAUACAAAAGUAAGACCAGCCCAUAUCUCUUCUUUCUGUCCCCUCCUUUGUUCCUUUGGGAGUUCUCUAAUUAAGACCCCCUCUAAAGCGUCAAAGUUCUUCUAAGGAGUUGACACUUGAAAGGCAGAAAAAGCAGAGAAAGUAGAAACAGAAAAAUGGGUGAGAAAGAUGAUGGUUUGAGGUUGAGUUUGAGCUUGGGAUGUGGAGAUGAUGAAAAGCGGGAGAAGAUAAGUCAAUCUCCUCAACCUUUCCCGUUGAAACUCAUGAGGUCUACUUUGCCUUUCGUGCAACAACAGAACCAGCAGCAGCUGCUGCUGCUGCAAAAGUCCUCCUUUCUUGCUGAUGCGUUUCCAUCAUCUUCUGGUAGGUUUCCUCUUUCCAAAAUUGUAUCUUUCCUUUUUCAGUUACUUGUGUAAGAUUUUGGUCAUGUCCGUUUAUUUUUUCCUCUUGAUCUUUGACCAAAUCUGAGCAUGUUUGGCGUUUUAUUGCAAAGUAACACGUUCAUUCUUCUUUUUUUUUUGACAAUUUCAAGAAAUUGUUACCAGUUUACGCUAACACGGUAAAAGAACAAAAAUUGAAAUGUUUGUUUAAUGAAAUGGCUGUGUUAUUCUAGCAUAUUUUAAACUGUGAAAGGCUCAUAAUGAUUUUUCUGUUACAUCAUUUGGUAAAUUCGUUAAAGCUUCCAUUUUUGUUUGAGAGAGAAUGAAAAACAAGGCAACUGUUAGCUCAAACUGAUCUCUGUUUCCGUGCUGUAAAACUGUUUUUUCCUUUUCAUUUUUCCCUCCCAUCUUCUCUGAUAAUAAAUGAGUUUCUUUCUUGAUUUGUAUUUAUAGAAAGAAAUGCUGCUGAGCCCAGAUCAUCUCUUCGAGGAAUUGAUGUAAAUCGACCAGCAACAGUGAUAGACUGUGAUGAAGAAGUCAUGGUGUCAUCACCAAACAGUACGGUGUCAAGCGUGAGUGGGAAGAGAAGCGAGAGAAGAAAAUGAGGCAGAAAGGGUUCAAGUUCUCUGGAGGAUGACGGUGGCGACGCGGCGAGAAAGAAGUUGAGGCUAUCCAAGGAACAAGCAGCUCUUCUUGAAGAGACCUUCAAGGAGCACAACACUCUAAAUCCGGUUAGUGGCAGUUUUGGUAAAUUUUUGGUGAUUUGGAGGUUUUUUUCUCGAUAGGAGUUGUUUGUUUUGUACUCAUGCUGAGUUGGUGUUUUGUACUAUGUUUACUUGUUGUGCAGAAGCAAAAAUUGGCCUUAGCCAAACAGCUAAACCUGAGGCCUAGACAGGUGGAGGUCUGGUUUCAGAAUAGAAGGGCAAGGUAAGUCGGUACUUGUGUGUCUCUGGUUUCAGUAACAUUUAACCAGCGUGGUGAUAUAUUUAGCACAAAUAUAUCUGUAUUGAACUUUCUUUGAAGAAGAACCAAAUACUGACUUUACCGAUAACAGGAUGCUGAAUCUUGAGCCAUAGACAACCAGAUUUAUGUUUCAAAGCAGAAGGGAAGUCUAUCCAUAUGGCAUUAUCCAUGCUAUUAUAAGAACAAUUUAUAGUAAUCUUAGGUGCUCUUUGAAGGUCAACUUAGAAUAGAGUACCACAUAUCAUACCAUUGGAUAUAGUAUUCGCUGAAACAAAACAGCUCAGUCUAAAGCUAAAGAUGUACAUGACUUAUUAGAAAUACAAGAGCAAGCUGGGCUUUCCGCUGAUGCAAGUCUACUCUUGGUAUCAUUUGGCAAAGACAUUACUCGCUUGGAAAUCCUUUUAGUGAAAUCAACUUAGGGUACAACAUAUACAUGUUUCGGAAAACUUCUGAGAGAAUCCACUAUCCAUUGAAUCAACUGUUUUUGUAGGAGGAGGCAAGGUGGAAAUUUUAGCUAAUUGUUGCUAAGUUGUUAUUGAUACUUUGGAAAGGGUAUUAUUUGCCAGCAAAUGUUUGAGACACACAUGCCUUGCACAGUUUCUACAAGAUGUUAUAGCAACUCUUUAAAGAUGGAGCUAUGUGGCAUUUGUUGAUCUUUUAACAGAUUUAAUGAAGUGCAAAGGAUUGUAAUUUACUUGAGUUGGUCGUUUACUAGGAUUUCCAAAUAGUAAUGGUGUGGCGAGGACAGACUAGUAGCAAAGAAGUAAAUUUCAUGACUUUUUUCUUUUAAUCUCAAUUUCAGAUAUAAAAAUUACUCAUUGGAUCGAUUUUGUGUAAAACCAGACUGGUCAUUGCAUUCUCAAACUUGAGUUGUAUGGGGGUAACAGACUUGUUGCACUUCCAUCAAAAUGGCUUAUUCAGCACUUAAAUUCGUAAAUUGCCAAAAAGCUUAGAUAUUCUGUUAUCUAUUAUUUCUUUGUGUUGCGUUAGCCUAAAACUUAUGAUGAUGAUGGAUUAGGAAAGGAAGUAGACAUUUAAUUUUCAUAUCAAAGUAACAGGUAGUUGGUGGCCAUUUUCAAUGGAAGUCUAGAGUCUAAAUGCUAGCCAUAGAUGUCACUGUGGUUCAGCAUUGUUGAUCUUUCUAUGACCAACCUUUUUGAAGUAUGAAUAGAACGUUUUCAUGCUGCAGGACAAAGUUGAAGCAGACCGAAGUUGACUGUGAGUACUUGAAACGUUGUUGUGAAAAUCUGACAGAGGAAAACAGGAGAUUGCAGAAGGAGGUGAACGAACUCAGAGCACUCAAGCUUUCUCCACAGUUCUAUAUGAACAUGAAUCCCCCGACCACCCUUACUAUGUGCCCUCAGUGUGAGAGAGUGGCCGUCUCAGCAUCUUCAUCGUCCUCAGCUGCAGCAUCAACAUCACUAGCUGCGACAAGCACUGGCAUCCCUCGUCAACAGAACCCACUGACCGCUGCAAAGCAACAUUCAAUGCCAAAGAAUCCUUGGGCUGCAAUCUUCCCCAAUCAAUCGCAUGGUGUCCGCCAGCCCCGGUCAUAAAUUUCCUUAAAAAGUUCAUCAUGUUCGUGGAAAGAUGGAUAGCAGGAUAGGUGUAGCGCAAGAAAAUGGCAGGAGCAGCGGAAGAAGUUCAGCUUUUGCUUCGAGAAGAUAGAUUCGUAAAGGGUAACAGGUGGUCCAUCUGUGGGGAGAGCUUUGUCCAUAAAACGGAGAGUAGAUCAGUUGGGAUAAAAAGAAGAGAAUUCGAGUAUCUUCGUUUUUGUUUAUCAAAUGACAAAUGAUUAAAUUUAGAUCCAAGUGUGGUUAAUGUCGGAAAUGAAGGGAACAUUGUUGUUCUAGUGUUUUAUUAGUUUCCAAUGUAAGAUAUUAUUGUUAGUCAUGAUGACCUACGUACUUCUCUUGUAUAGAUUAAUUCCAGGGAAAUAUAGUUAGGUGGUGUAUAAACAAUACACUAACGUCAAUCAAAAGUCAUCAUCAAGGAUUAUGGUGGGCCAUUAUUUGUUUAGUAGAUAGGAGAUAAAGAAACGACUCGCUAUCAUUGUAUUGUUUAGUGAUAAAUGAUUGAUAUUAGUGUAUCACCUAAUAUAUCAUAUGAUGUAUUCAAUUUCUUUUCGUCAUUUCAACUUUCUUGAAUCUUCUACUAGUCUACUUCCAAAAACAGAGCAUAUGUUUGUUUGUUGAUAAAUGAUUGAUACUAAUUCACCAUCUAACACACCACAUGAUGCAUUCAGUUCCUUUUCGCGCUCCAGCAAGUCCAACAGAUUAUAUUGUAAGCAAAUAUUCAGAGAGAGGCAAAAGUGGUAGAAAGUUGAAACCUUUGGAGACGUUUCAGUUGAUAUAUUGGUAAAGGUCAAUUCAGAAAAGGGCAAAUGAAUAGCGGGCCCAAAUAGCAUAGGAAACCAUUUCCUUUAGCACAGUUUGACGUGCAAGCUAAAAGAAAGGAUUGAAAUUUAAGGACAAGAAGCACACGCACCUCGUAACUAUUUCUUGAAGUGUAGCAAUCACACUUUUUCUUUUUGCGAAUAAUCCAUGGAUGUAGAAAGAUCGUUCUUCUAUGCACUCACUCUCGAUGACCAACUUGCCUUUGAUAAAUUAGCCACCAAGAAAGGAUUUAAAAUCCCUUUUAAGCUGUACUUUGACCUUUGAAUGUUCAAAUUCCCGUACCUCCAGUUAAAAAAAUCCACAGAAAGUGUAACAGUAUAAAUUUCUUGUCUACAUAAGUCGUGUACAUCUUUAACCUGGGUUGGAUGUGGGUUCUUUAAUCUGGGUUUAAGGUCCAUAGGAGUCUCGUCCUGUCACUAAUUGGCUGGAUGUGAAUUUCUUGUGGGUCUCCCUUAGAUUACUCUUAACUGGGUUCUUUAGCCGUUAACCUCCUGAGUGUUUCUAAUCUAAUUGGGUGUGUGUGUUUCUAUCUCUUGACAGAAAAAAACCAUUCGUUGGUGAGGGUGUGCUCGGGGGGAGGGGCAUCCCUCCCACAUCGGUUGGAUGUGGAUUUUUUAACCUGAGUUUAAGGUCCAUAGGAGCCUCGUCCUGUCACCAAUUGGCUGGACGUAGGUUUUUUGUGGGUCCCCCUUAGAUUACUCUUAACUGGGUCCUUUAGCCGUUAACUUCUUGAGUGUUUCUAAUCUAAUUGGAUGUGUGUGUUUCAAUCUCUUUGACAGCAAAAUCCACUCUUAAGAACUUCAAACUUUACACACACAGCGACAGCAACCAAGAAUAAGUCCAACAAGAUAAUAAUAAAGAUUAGCCCUUGCUAGGUUGUCUUGGUUGUCAGGUAGCUAGAAAGUAUCGGAAUAGUAUGUCUAGCUUCAUUCUCAGACAAGUACAGAUUAGAGGCUCGGCCAAAAAUCCUGCAGUUAUCUCUUAGGGAGCGAAUUUGCCCGGUACCAUAAUAACAUACGCUAGUUAUGCAGCUGUCGUCAAUGUCUUCUUGGAGAACUUCUCAUGCUUUUGACAGUGUCCUCCAUAUUAUUUAAUGUAUGUGUCUUAGUAAUGGCUGCUGGCGCAUGGAUAAAGAGUUAAAGAGGAGCGCGGAUAAAGAGUCCAUCCAACAGGAAACCAGCACUAAACAAAUCUCAAACCACCACUCCAAGUUUCAGGCUUUCAGCUCUCCACGGUUGAGUCGGUUCAGCCCCUUAAUCCGUGGUUGUAAAUGUAGGGAUCGACCCUCAUGCAAGACCCGCUCCCCAAAACCCCGACUAAUUAGGCAGCGAAGAAAGAAGCUUCACAGUCGAAAAUGCAAGACCUUAAGCAGGAGCGUUUCUUUAUCAUGUUUUCUUUUGUUUGAGGCGGUACAAGAUGGUGAAAUCAAUAACUCUCAUCAUUCAUAAGUAACAGUGCUGGCUCUACUAUACAAAUGAUUACCAUUCAAUCAUCUAAAUAAUGAGCAAGAAGAGAUUAUCAGUUAAUCAAACAGUAUUUACAGUAUCUGCAAGAGAACGCAGUAUGCAACCCAAGCCAGCUUUUUCUGUCAACUUCUCAUGAAUCCUCAAACACUGGUCGCAUGUUGGACGGUCACCAGUGGACAAGCCUCUGUAAAGAUACCUGAAAAUAAUAGUGCAGUCAAUGAUUGUCAAAACGAUAGCAAAAAUUUACAAGUGCCACACCACUGGGGAGAUGGACAAAGCACCAACUAGGCAAAAGGAUUUCCCUGCUUACAUUUGUUCUCUCUACCAUCUUUAACUGGUAAGAUGUUUCCAAAGAUUUCUUGAUAGUAUUUUGAGAACUGGUUAAGGAUCCCUUUACAUGUCCUGGUAGCUUAAGACAUAUUCCUAGUUCACAAAACCAAAAAGCCAUAGUAUUUUUCUUUUUUUUUUAAAAAGCCACAGUAUUCGUUACAUGUGAACAACUUAAUUCUAAUUUGAAAGGAGACCACAGAAGAGACCCGACGUACAACCUGGAGUCCAACUGUAACCUAAAAGCUUAUGCCUUAGGUUUCAAACUCAGGCACUAAGCAGUCCAUUUGAUUUUCUCAAACUACAGUGUAACAAUUCCAACCAGCCAAUAGACCUAACACGGGUAGACCCUCCUAUUGAAAACAAUCCCCCUCCCCUCUCAAGUUCAAGUUAGCAGUCAAUGCAAGCCUACUUCUUCUUCAUCUAACACAAAUAGAUCCCCAACCUCUUCAUCAGACCAAUACAAAUAGACCCGUGGUCAAUGGUCUACGCCAAAGAGGACAAAUGAUCUAAACCAAGGAAAGAUAACUGCUAACCCAUAACCCAAUAUCAUAAACACAGCUCUGGCAUUAGCUUGUCAAGAACAGACUUCUGAAAAUUUGCCAGAUCUUCUUUAUUUUAUUUUUUCUAAAAGAAUUUGACAAAGUCACUUGACAGCCCACGCAGAAAUAUGGAGAAGAAUAUAAAAGAAAGUGAGUGGUUAGGUCAAUCAAAAGGUGAAGGAGGAAAAAAAUCUUCGGUCCUAGGAAGAAAAAUACAAAGCUUAAAAGAAAUCUCCAAAAGCUGAGUCAACAGUAGGUCAGACAGCAUUACCUACUAAGAAAGGAGAGUAGUAACAAAAAUUACGAAAACCUGAGAUAUAAAAAUAGCUGCGUUUGACCCAAUUUGAGCUUACUCUAUUUUUCAUGUAGAUUGAAGCCUUCUCUAAGGCCAAUCUUAUAGUUGAAACUCAGCUGAAACUUGUAGGUUAUAGGAAUUCAAUUGCAGCUGAAAUUUGACAACAGAAAUCCAGGGUCGGAAGCUUGUAAAAUUCAUUCCAAAUAAGUGGGCUAGGAUGGCAAGCCACCUUCACCUCUUACACAACUCCUCAGCUAACAAAUCUCCAACUUGGCUUGCAUGCAACAUACAAAACAAUGAUAGACUGUUCUACAAGCCUUUUGCCUAAUCUUGAGCAACUUCUGCCAAAACCUCAUAGGAGACAUAUAAUACGAUACUUGAAUGAGCUUUCUCAUCUAUGUCAACAAGUUCCUUACCAAUCAUUUAAGUUGAUAAUUUCUCCAUUGUCGACAAAGCCUUCCAUCCAAAUUCAGUCGGGAUUGCUUCCAUUUUGAACUAUCAUAGUCUCAAUUUGGCACUUAGGUUAAACUACUGAAUAGGACUUUGUUAUUGUCAUAGCGGUUGCUGGUACUUAACCUAGGUUUCAUGGUUCUGAUAGCAGUUGCCAUUCCAGCAAUCCCAUCAGCAGCAACAUUAGCCUCAGCAAAUUCAUUAUUUUAUAAUCUUUCUUCUCUAUACAUUCUCUUCAUUUCCAACUUAAAAGGAAUUAGAUUUAAUACGCCCUCUUCUUGUGACAUAAUUGCAAAACCAAUUCUUAUAUACAGAUUUUGAUUCAGGUUUUUAUUUUUUAUUUUCUCAACCUCUUUUUCCACUACCCCCUAAAAAAUGAGCUGUUCAACUGAUAUUAACUCGUUUCACCAAUACCAUCCCUUUUCUAGCUAAAGGCUUGUGGAGAAGACACAGCAAGUAUUCCAUCUUUUUUUUUUCUUCAAAAAUCAGAUACAAGCCAAGGUGGAGAAUUGUCAGGUGAAGAGCUGUGUUGGUCAGUGGCAGGUGGAGUUCCAUUCUAUACCAUGACUCUUGCAGAUCUUCCUCAAACUUUGCCGCAAAUGAUUUGAUAUUCUGAACGAAUUUUAGUCAAGGUCAGCUAUAAAUAGCGCCUUAUGAAGGCCUCAAUCUACACAAAAAACAUAGAAAGUUCAAACUGGUACAAGUUCACACUUCAAUAUUUUUGAGUUUUCUCAUGUUUUGCUCUCUUUUUUUUUGGCUUUUGGAGAAUUUUUCCAAGCUUUAUGUUCUUCUUCAUAGUAGUGAUGUUUCAUCCUUCACCCAUGGACAUAGGUCUCAUUGACUGAAUAACAAAAAUCUUAUUGCCUCACUCUCUUUUCCAUACUUUUUUAUUGUCCAUUCAGUUUGUCAAUUAUCCGAACUUUGUUGCUAACAAAAUUACUUGCACAUAGAACAUGAAGGUGAAGAGAUUGGUAACCAAAACCAAUCACCAACGGAAAAAAGAUGUCCAACUAAACUCUGAAUAGUAACCAGCUAACUGAAACUCUGCCUCAUAUAACAAGUGAUAGAUAAUAUUCCAAGGUAAUUUCGUCCAAUGCUGAGAAUCCACAAUCGAUAUGCAACACUUAGUAAUCAUGUGGAGAACAUAUAUAGUUUCCGACAUCAGUAUCCAAAGAGGUCAUCCUAUUGAAUAUUAACAUCUUGUUUUGAGGUUGAAUUUGGUAUUAACACCAUUUGUAACAAGGUGUGAAUCUUCUACAAGUUCAGCAAGCAUUAUUUAUCAAGUCUUCUGGUACUUGAAAUGGUAAUUAACAAAGAUACAUAUGAAAUACUCUCAAGCGCUAGACUUUCCAGAUUCAGAAAAUUAUCACGUCCAUCAUGAAAAAUUGAUCGUGAAGUUCCAAUUACACUUCGAAUCAGUUAAACAUGAUACCACGUCCUAAAUCAACAUCAAAGGUACACAAAGAAAAAACAGCAAGGUUGAAUCUUUUGUAUAAAUUGCAGUAACAAGGAAGUUAGGGUCAGAGAGUUUUUCACAAAGGGAAAGAAAAGGUGAUUACUUCAUGAGAAUAUCAUAAUACUCGGAUCCAAGGCAAAGAACAAGCUUUCAACAUCUUUGAUUGCCAUUAUUGCCCUGUGCACCACUAUCCAGUUCGCAGACUACAAAUUCAACAAAGCUCAUUCAUGAAAUACGACUCAAUAUCAGAUCAAGAAAAAUGAAAAAAAAUCCGAAAAAUACAGUCAAAUAAAGAAAAUUCCCAAGAGAAUACAGCUGAAGAUAGAACUGGAAUCGUGAUUACUGACCUUACACCUCUCAUCUUUGGUCUUCGGAGGGGACCCUUCAAGAGCUGUCUUGAGUGCUUCCACUGGUUUAUUCCUACCAAUCAGAAAAAUAAGAACAAAAAAAAAUGUUGGUUUAGAAAGAUCAAAUUUUUAGUAUUUGUGAGGAUAAAUGAAAAGGGGGAUUGAUACUGCUUGAGUAAGCUCUCGAUUUUGCGGGACUUGUGCUCGAUUCUGGCGAUGAUGGCUUCAGCAUUAUCCGCUUCCACAUGCUCAGACGCCAUGUUUUAAAUCCCCUUGGAUCUCUCUCAGUCAGACACAGACUGUGAGAAAGGAGAGAGUGAAAUUCAAGGAAAGUGGGAUCGGGCCUCGAAAGAGGAUUGAUAUAUUAGUUUUCACCGCAUAAAUUAAUGGGAAAAUCGUCCAAAACAUCCAUCAUAUUUUGUAAAAUAACUUUUUUCGUCCUUACUUUUAAAAGUAUAAUUUUAUGUCUCUUACAUAUUCACAUCAGUCAAAUUUAGUCCCUAACUAGAUUUUCGAUCAUUUUUUUGCUGGAUUCCAUCACGUGCAAGGCACGUGAUCAUUUUUGAGGGGUAAAUUUGUCAAAUUAUAUUUUGCCAUAAUUUAAUUUAUUGUCCCUCACAUUUCAUAAAAUAAAUUUUUUCAUCCCUUACAUUUUAUAAAAUGAUUUUUUCAUCCCUCAUAUUUCAUAAUAUGAAUUUCUCCAUCUCUCACAUUUCAAAAAAUGAAUAAUUGUUAAUAUGGCUAUAGCUUGUUAUAGGUAGGACAUUAACAAUUGUUUAUGUAAUUGGGCUCGGCAUAUUGGCUAUCUUCUCUUUUUGUAUGAUUGUGACUAAUAUUUACCAAUAGAACCUUAAUUUGCAUAUUCUUAUUGUAUUUUGAUAGAAAAUACUUUAUUGGCCAACUGGACAAUGAAUGCAAAAUUUUUUACUAAGCUAAUAUCAAAUGAAAUCAAAUGAUCGCAUAUAAUAUAUGUUAUUUAUAUUGUUAAGUGAAAUCAAAUAGACACAUACAUGUGUUUAUGCUAUUGUAUUAUUAAGCGAAAUCAAUAAACAUAUGCAUGUGUUUAAAAAAAUGUAUUACACACAUAAUUAGUGAGGAAUGACAAAUUUAUUUUUUGAAAUGUGAGGGAUGGAGAAAAUCAUAUUGUGAAAUAUGAGGGAUGAAAAGUCAUUUAUAAAAUGUGAGGGACGAAAAAUUUUAUUUUAUGAAAUGUGGGGGACUAUAGAUUAGAUUAUGUAAAAUAUAAUUUGACAAAUUUACCCAUAAAAAAUGAUCACGUGCCUUGCUGGUGAUGAAUCCGGCAAAAAAAUGAUCGGAAACCUAGUUUAGGGACUAAAUUUGACCGAUGUGAAUAUGUAAGGGACGUAAAAUUAUAUUUUUAAAAGUGAGGGACGAAAAAAGUUAUUUUACAAAAUGUGAGGGACGUUUUGGACGAAUUUCCCUAAAUUAAUUGUCAAGAAAAGUGAUGGACGAAAAUAAUAAUAUUUUUAUGGAAUAAAUUAAAUUUUAAAAAAAGUGAGGAACAAAAGAAUAUUUUUAUGAAAUGUACGAGAUGAAAUUAAUCAUUUUUCUUACAACAAAGGUUAACCUUUUGCUAAAAAUGAAUGCACACAACCAAUCGUGCACUGCCCACAUUUCGUGAGCUUGAAUGGUGAACCUGAAUAUUAGUAGUAUUAGUUUUUUUUUAAUCUCAAAACGAAACAAUUCAUUUUGUGAAAUGUCAAAGACGAAAAAAUUUAUUUUGUGAAAUAUAAGAGAUUAUAGAUUGGAUUAUGUAAAUUUUAAUUUGAUAAUUUUACUCUUAAAAAAUGAUCACGUGUACGUGAUGGAUUCCGACAAAAACUAGUCGAAAACUUAAGUACGAAUCAAAUUUAACCAAUGUAAAUUUGUAUGGGACGUAAAAGUACACUUUUAAAAGUGAGGGAUGAAAAAAGUCAUUUUGUAAAAUAUGAAAGACGUUUUGAACGAUUUUUCCUUUUCUUUUUUCUUCUUUUUGUGACAAAAUUAAAAGUUAGAAUAGUAUUAAACGGGUCGUGAACCCAUAAUUCAUAAUUGUAUAAAGAUGCUUCCCACUGAUUGUCUCACAUUCACGAGAAGGAGAAUUAAAUUGGAUGGUAAGACGAGAGAGAUUGUAUAUAGGAUAUCUUCAAUUCAAAAUCUUCCACUUAUCUUAAAAUAAAAAGAAACAAAAAAGCUAAUAUGCUGCACCGACCAUAUGCUGAAAAGUUUCUCAGCUGAGUCGGUCAUAGAAUUAGUGUGCUUCCAACAUGAUUCCAAUUUGCAUGCACCUGUUAAGCAAUGCACUCCUCAUUGAAUGAAAUAACACAACCUGUUAUCUGAGUCAAAAACUUUAUCAAACAACAAUUUUAUUGUGAAAAUUCGAUGCUUUUGCUACGCUAGUUUUUCCAUUUUUCUGUCUAUUGGUCACUAAUAUGUGCUGUGCUCUCCCAGUGAUUUUGUAGUCUGGAGCAGUAGAAAGAAAUUUCCAUAUAACAAGACAACAGCACCAAUUAGUCAAUUACUACUGUGGAAAGAAUUGGUCCUUCCUCCUGCCAACAAACGAAUGUACUAAUAUGCAUGCAGUUUUUUCUUCUAAAAAUAUGACAGUAGUGAAUGGCGUACUACAUCUUAUCUUAGCCAAUUAAAUACAGCUGCAUCAUGUGCCUUCGAAAGUCGUAACAGCAUAUUUAUUUAUGGCAAAAGAAGAAAUUCAAUCGGCGGAGACAAACGGUAAAGUAAUGACCCACUUUUGAAUUCUGACUGCCCUCUGUUCAUGACUCACAACCCUUUUCUACGUUUUCCCUCACUCAUCAGAACUCACACAAGGCACACUCCCCUUUUAGUGCCUUACCUUUACCAUUUCUUGAUUACCCAAAUGUUCCUUUCUUGUUCUUCACCUAACCGCACAGGUUCUUUCUUCCCCUGUCCUCAACAAUGGCAGCUUCUCCAGCCUUAUUCAGGAAUCCCCAUUGCCGAGUUCCGCAUCAAAAACCUGCAAGUAAGUCUUACUCAGACUUGUUCUGUAAGUCCCUGAUCGUUAUUCUUGUUCUUCUUGUUAUACCCUUGUUUCCUGCACAAGCUCCUGAUUUUAUUAGCCAAUCUAUAUUGAGUAAGUUCUGGGAACUUUUUCACCUUCUGGUUAUUGGGAUUGCUGUUUCUUAUGGCUUGUUCUGUAGAAAUGUACCAAUAUUGAGGUCGAUAAUCAGCCUAGAAAUGAUUAUAGUCCUCAUGCAUAUUUCCCCGGGGUAAUGAAUGUAUCUUCAUUUUUUGAGGAUGGGUGUGAAGAUAUGUGCAACUCCGAUGAGACAAAGAGUACCCAAAAUUGGGAUUUUAUGUACUUGAAAAAUGAAUCAAUGAGUAAAGCAAGGCCUUCAGUAGAUGAUGGUAAAAAGAUUAGAUCUUUGAAGUUUGGAAACGGCGUUAAGUACAUUUAUGAGCCUGAUAAGGAAAACGUUGGCCAUAUUUGGAAUUCUCAGUAUUUUCAAGGGAAAAUUUGGUGGUUGUGGCUGAUGGGAACUAUGCUUCUGAUGAACAUAAACCCUUAGGUCUUCCUGUCAGGAGCCUUAGGUCAAGUAUUGGUGAUGCUGAGAAAACUGAGUUUGGCCCGAGUAAUGCAUCAUCUACGAGUUUGAAGGAUUCUUUCGGUGAUUAUACUAAGGGUAAGGUUCAGAAAUUCAGAAGUCCGGUUACUAUUAAUUUGGAGGAGGAGUUUGAUGAAGUCGCUGGACCUUCCACCAUCCGCUGGCAGUCAAGAUCUGAUAGGAUGAAAUGAGAGAAGAAGUUGGUAAUGUUCAACCCCAUGCCAUUGUAGGAAUCACUCUGGUGGGAAUUUUGAGAUUGAGAAUGUUAAGUCAAGGUCAGUCAGGCAUCCGUUAUCUUCAGGAACCAGUUCUGUUUCGCCCCAGCCGUCAAACUGGAAAACUGAAAAUGUGGAGCCAAAAAAAGAUCUCAAGGCUUUCUUGGACAUGUUUUCACGGACAACUGUAGCAUCUGUGGAUGAUGGUGCAUCAGUUCCUACUAAGGCCAGGGGAUUUAGCAUUGGAUCCUCCAGGAGCUGGACAUGCCGACUUCUAAAGGCUACUUUAAUGAUUCUAAUAUAAGUGCAAUGCAAGAUAUGUUGGACAGAGGGAAGAAAGGUAGGGACUCUAUGAAAUCAGAUGCUAAACCUUCAAACUUAGCUAAGGUUCUACAGAGGGGAAGAUCCGUUAGAACAAUCAGAUCUAGUUUAUCUGCUUCUGAUGAACUGAAAACGAAGGAGAAGAAUUCGAGUCAAAUAGAUGACAAUGUUGCACCGAGGAGUGACCAACCUGAAGCACCCAUCUUGGCAAAGAAAGUGAGAGGAGGAGAAACAAAAGAUCCCCCAGUCCACACCAAAAGCACAAUUCCAGGAAGGUGCAUCCUGUGCCAAAGGAGACAUUCUCUGAGUUUCAGAGUGAUGAAAAACAGGACACUGCUGAUAGUGCUUUGCCACUUGAAAGUGACUUGCAGUUGGAGGGUGAGCCUGAAGAUUGUGAAGAAAGUUCAGAUGAUAAGGAAUCAGAAAAUGACCUAGUAGAUAACUCAGGAGCUGAAGGAAGUGAGGUUGAUAGGAAAGCUGAUGAAUUUAUAGCCAAGUUUAGGGAGCAAAUGAGGCUUCAGAAGAUUGCAUCAGUCACAAAGGCAUAGCUGUGGAGCCUAGUAGCAAAGGCUUUGCAACACAAGUGGAGGAAUUAAGAUUAUGGAUAUUUGUAGGCUUCGUUCGUCAAAUCAUGAGUAGCUGCGGCAAUUUAAUGUGACCUGUGGUGCCCAGAUUGGGUUCGCCUGGUGGUUUGCGCCUUAAUCACACUUUGGUGCACAUCAGAUGGCAGUUAAACAGAUAUACGGAAAUUGGUAGUUAGUAGUCUGGGUAAGCUGUAGUCUUGCGCUGCAGCAAGGUAUUUCACACUGAAUAGCAGGAAGCUGUCUUUUUUCAGCUCAUUUUCCAUCUACUUGUUAUUACCCUGUAGUUAAAGCAUAGUGGCAAACCUCAUAUUUGAUCGAUAACCAUUGAUUUCGUUUGUCGGACUAUUUUUGUUGCCCACAUGAUGCCACUAUAUCACCAAAUUUCCCAGCAUCUAAGGUGGUAUGAAAAGUAAAUGUUCUGGGCCAGUGUAAAAGAUACACACAGAAUCCAGUUUGAUUGCAUCUAUGAGAAUUUGAUAGCUAGCUCACCAAACUUAUAUGACUAUCAUUGCUGAGAAAGGUCAAAUCGUGCUUUUCCAUUUGGUUCCAAAUUUUUGAUCUCCUUGUAAAUGCAUAAUGUUUUCUACGAUCAUAUUUGGCCAAGUGAUAAAUUGGGUUUUGAGCUGACAUUGCGUGUAAGAAUUUAGUGUUGCGGCCGUAGCAAUCAUAAUAUUGGAUGAAUGGCUACUGAAAAUCUAAUUUCAGUCACGGCUAAUUUUCUUAUUCAUUAUCAUUUUAUAAGUGCAUUCUACCAAAGUAUAGGCAAGCUUGUCUUGAGAAAAGCUGUGCAAUUGGUUUAUUCAAAGUAUCUAAUUCCGGGUUCAUGCAAGAAAAAGGUUUUGGCUUCUUUUGGGGUAUAUGCAUUCUAACAUGCUAAACCAAUUACAAGGAGGCAAGCAGUGAGAGGAUAGUUGGCAUCUCAUGUUUGAUAUAAGCAAGAAAAUUUCUUCCACCAAACAAAAACAAGCAGCAAAACAUCCUCGACCUUGAUCACCUGUCACCAACAAUAAACUCAUAAGCUUGCAAAUUCCUCGUUUGGGUUACUAGAACAACUGUUAAAACAUGAGCUGGCUGAAUUGGAGGAGAUUUCUGCAUCAUUUAGUGAUCAAAUGAAACAUCCGACACUGCAAGUUGUCUGUAAGAAUCUCAAAUACAAAGACGUUUUAUGCAUCUCAUGUUUUAUGCAUCAUAAUGCUUACAAGCAUCUUGCAUGGAGAUGUUCAUUGUUUCUGCCCAUGCUGAAUAUGGCCGCAUUUAUUCGUUGCAUUGUUUGGUUAUGUUAUUUGUCUUUUUUGCUUUUUUCAGAAGGGCGGUUGGGAGUGUCGUGUAGCACUGCAUCCCUCUUACAAUAUGGUGGUCCUUUGUCAUCCCGUCUCUUUUUAUCCAUUUUUCCGAAGUUCCCUGCAACAAAUGAACACCUUCAACUACUUAUAGUUCAUUUUCGUGUUUCCAAUUCCGUGAAGCGUAUGAAAUGAGGUCUUUUCCAUCUUAGUUUGGUAGAAUUAGAUUUGUCCUUGUAUUGAGAAGAGAGUUGUCCUAAUGAAUUCUUAUUGAGAAGAGACCUAAGUCCUUCCUUGGAUUGUAGGUGGGGGUUCAAAUCUCACCUGCAGCGAAAAAAUUUUAAGAGUGGUGCCAAAGCAUUUCUUUGGUCUAAUAAGAUCUGUGUACCUGCUAGUCCCUGACACAAGUCUAUUUAAGUUCCCCCUUCCCUCUAAUCUAGGAUAGAAUAGGUUAUACGACAGUUAUCGUCUUAAAAAAAAAUAAUAAUGAAUUCUUUUAUUUGCUUGUUCUUCUACCACUGGAGUUCGUUGACAUUUGAGAGAAAUGUGCUGGAAAUGAGAAAUUCAACAGGGGCUAAGUGAACCCUUUUCUGUUUUCAUUUGAUUGGUUCAUUAUGCAUCGCAGGAUAGUAGAUGAGAAGUGUCUGUUAAUUUCGUUGAUUCAGCCCUUUGUCUGCUGUGUGUUUUGUCACCCCCUUUCUUAGAUAGGAAGUUGAAAAGAUACAACCACAAUGGAACCAAAGUUUUGCAGAAGAUGACUAAAAGACCGAUCCAAAUCAGAUGCCAUCUGCAGAUUUACCAUUAAUAAAGCUUAAGCACGCUUAUGGUGUAAGAGUAAUUGGCCUUUGGGUGUUUUUUAAAUAUUUUAUUGUAACAAUGUAGGUGAAAAACUUU
This 33810-nucleotide long non-coding RNA is filed under the name Coffea arabica (coffee). RNAcentral's name for it is "long non-coding RNA (CARA_LNC001694)". The record is from RNAcentral. Lineage: Eukaryota; Viridiplantae; Streptophyta; Magnoliopsida; Gentianales; Rubiaceae.